This 76-nucleotide transfer RNA is filed under the name Acinetobacter piscicola. Its description in RNAcentral is "tRNA-Arg". It matches the Rfam family "tRNA". From Rfam's summary of the family: Transfer RNA (tRNA) molecules are approximately 80 nucleotides in length. Lineage: Bacteria; Pseudomonadati; Pseudomonadota; Gammaproteobacteria; Moraxellales; Moraxellaceae. The record is from RNAcentral.
ACACCAUUAGCUCAGUGGAUAGAGCAUCCGCCUUCUAAGCGGAUGGUCACAGGUUCGAAUCCUGUAUGGCGUGCCA